This 965-nucleotide ribosomal RNA is filed under the name Bacillus cereus. RNAcentral's name for it is "bacterial LSU rRNA". It matches the Rfam family "Bacterial large subunit ribosomal RNA", at positions 1964 to 2925 of the family's 2925-position model. The record is from RNAcentral. Lineage: Bacteria; Bacillati; Bacillota; Bacilli; Caryophanales; Bacillaceae.
AUUCCUUGUCGGGUAAGUUCCGACCCGCACGAAAGGUGUAACGAUUUGGGCACUGUCUCAACCAGAGACUCGGUGAAAUUAUAGUACCUGUGAAGAUGCAGGUUACCCGCGACAGGACGGAAAGACCCCGUGGAGCUUUACUGUAGCCUGAUAUUGAAUUUUGGUACAGUUUGUACAGGAUAGGCGGGAGCCAUUGAAACCGGAGCGCUAGCUUCGGUGGAGGCGCUGGUGGGAUACCGCCCUGACUGUAUUGAAAUUCUAACCUACGGGUCUUAUCGACCCGGGAGACAGUGUCAGGUGGGCAGUUUGACUGGGGCGGUCGCCUCCUAAAGUGUAACGGAGGCGCCCAAAGGUUCCCUCAGAAUGGUUGGAAAUCAUUCGUAGAGUGCAAAGGCAUAAGGGAGCUUGACUGCGAGACCUACAAGUCGAGCAGGGACGAAAGUCGGGCUUAGUGAUCCGGUGGUUCCGCAUGGAAGGGCCAUCGCUCAACGGAUAAAAGCUACCCCGGGGAUAACAGGCUUAUCUCCCCCAAGAGUCCACAUCGACGGGGAGGUUUGGCACCUCGAUGUCGGCUCAUCGCAUCCUGGGGCUGUAGUCGGUCCCAAGGGUUGGGCUGUUCGCCCAUUAAAGCGGUACGCGAGCUGGGUUCAGAACGUCGUGAGACAGUUACAGUUCGGUCCCUAUCCGUCGUGGGCGUAGGAAAUUUGAGAGGAGCUGUCCUUAGUACGAGAGGACCGGGAUGGACGCACCGCUGGUGUACCAGUUGUUCUGCCAAGGGCAUAGCUGGGUAGCUAUGUGCGGAAGGGAUAAGUGCUGAAAGCAUCUAAGCAUGAAGCCCCCCUCAAGAUGAGAUUUCCCAUAGCGUAAGCUAGUAAGAUCCCUGAAAGAUGAUCAGGUUGAUAGGUUCGAGGUGGAAGCAUGGUGACAUGUGGAGCUGACGAAUACUAAUAGAUCGAGGACUUAAC